AUAUAUAUAUAUAUAGAUUAGACCGUUGGUUUUCCCGUUUUAAUGGUUUUACACUAGUAAUUCUGGGGCCCUUUAUUGCUUGUUGUUCUAUGACAGCCAAGGCUCCGUGUUGAAGGCCGUACAUUGACAAAUAAUGGUUUACUUUUUAUAAAUUGUUAUUUGGAUGGAGGGUUGUCUCAUUGGCACUCACACCACAUCUUCCUAUAUCUAGUUGAUGUAUAAAAAAACAGACACUAGUGUGAUGUAUUACGUCAAAAUGGAAACUAGGCGUAUAACGGUAAAUCAUGCAUGUUUUUAAACUUGGCAUUACGUGAUGAUGUGGAUAGUCACCAUUCAUGUUAAAUGUAAUGAGUUUUAAAAGGUCACUUUAAUUUUGUCUUCAAUAUUGAAUAUAUUAUACAGAUAUAUCAUGUAUAUGAUUGUAAAACCUAAACGUGACCAGGGUAUAAAUAUAAUGCACUUUUGGUCUUCAUCCGACUGGAAGCGAAAUCAUUUAGAAGAAGAAAGAAAUGGGAAAUACGCAGUAAUCUAUAAUCUUAUGAUGAAAUUUGAACUUUAAUUGUGUGUAUAUACUGCUUAUAGAAAAGACAUAGAAAGACGACUGGUUUGAUAAAUAGGGACAAAUCUGCUGGUUUAUUUUUGAUGGAACAAUGUUUUCAAUAUAUUUGUUUUGUAACGGCAGUUGUACAUGGAUGAAUAUUCGUCUUUUUAGCAUGUGAAAUCACUUUGAAUAUCUUAAUAUUAUAUCGAAAGCUAGACAUAAAGGACUGAUUGUUUUGAAUGUAUUUUGCAAUCAAAUCUGCUUUAUCUUGGGAAAACAUGAGUAAGAAACCUUAAUACUUCAAUUGCGUAAUAGCAUAUAAACAAUACAGUGUAAUUUAAAAUUGACGGUUAAAAAUUAAUGCAUGGG
This 910-nucleotide long non-coding RNA is filed under the name Mytilus galloprovincialis (Mediterranean mussel). The record is from RNAcentral. Lineage: Eukaryota; Metazoa; Mollusca; Bivalvia; Mytilida; Mytilidae.